This 678-nucleotide ribosomal RNA is filed under the name Qipengyuania vulgaris. RNAcentral's name for it is "bacterial SSU rRNA". It matches the Rfam family "Bacterial small subunit ribosomal RNA", at positions 18 to 743 of the family's 1533-position model. Lineage: Bacteria; Pseudomonadati; Pseudomonadota; Alphaproteobacteria; Sphingomonadales; Erythrobacteraceae. The record is from RNAcentral.
CAUGGCUCAGAACGAACGCUGGCGGCAUGCCUAACACAUGCAAGUCGAACGAACCCUUCGGGGUUAGUGGCGCACGGGUGCGUAACGCGUGGGAACCUGCCUUUAGGUUCGGAAUAACUCAGAGAAAUUUGAGCUAAUACCGGAUAAUGUCUUCGGACCAAAGAUUUAUCGCCUUUAGAUGGGCCCGCGUUAGAUUAGAUAGUUGGUGGGGUAAUGGCCUACCAAGUCGACGAUCUAUAGCUGGUCUGAGAGGAUGAUCAGCCACACUGGGACUGAGACACGGCCCAGACUCCUACGGGAGGCAGCAGUGGGGAAUAUUGGACAAUGGGCGAAAGCCUGAUCCAGCAAUGCCGCGUGAGUGAUGAAGGCCUUAGGGUUGUAAAGCUCUUUUACCAGGGAUGAUAAUGACAGUACCUGGAGAAUAAGCUCCGGCUAACUCCGUGCCAGCAGCCGCGGUAAUACGGAGGGAGCUAGCGUUGUUCGGAAUUACUGGGCGUAAAGCGCGCGUAGGCGGCUUUUCAAGUCAGGGGUGAAAUCCCGGGGCUCAACCCCGGAACUGCCCUUGAAACUGGAUGGCUAGAAUACUGGAGAGGUGAGUGGAAUUCCGAGUGUAGAGGUGAAAUUCGUAGAUAUUCGGAAGAACACCAGUGGCGAAGGCGACUCACUGGACAGUUAUGA